This is a long non-coding RNA of Homo sapiens (human), 1694 nucleotides long. Ensembl annotates it as long intergenic non-protein coding RNA 1287. The record is from Ensembl. NCBI's taxonomy places the organism in Eukaryota, Metazoa, Chordata, Mammalia, Primates, Hominidae.
ACAUUCGCUGCGGGCAGUGAUAUCCACUAAUCCUGGAUGAGGCAGCGGAGGGCCCCCAAACCCCUAUCCAGGACUUAGUAAAGCUGGCGUUCAAAGUUUUUAAUUCCUGAGAGGAGGCGGCUGAGGUACAACGACAGGCAAGCCUGAAACAAAAAGUUCAGCUCCAAACCCAAGCCCUGGCAGCUGCCCUGCAACCGGCAUUCCCUAAGAGCCGCGGCAGGAGAGGUAGAGGUACAAUCUCCCGGGCCCCGUCUGGCGUCUGCUUCAAGUGAGGCAACUCAGGACACUGGGCCAGCCGGUGCCCUAGCCAACAGCAACCGUCCUGCCCGCCUUGCAACUGUUUCAAGUGUGGCAAUCCAGGUCAUUGGGCAAAACAGUGCCCAAACCCCAAGCCGCCAACACACCCGUGCCCUAACUGCCAACAAAUGGAGCACUGGAGGUCAGACUGCCCCAGCCUCGGAGCGGCCGCUGUGGCUCCACAUGGCGACCCCUCCCUGGAUGGCGAAGGUGCCCUCUAGCUCCUCCAACUGGAUGACGACUGAAGAGGCCCAGGCUCGGGAACCCCUCUCACCCUUGCCGAGCCCAGGGUAAUGCUUCAGGUAGCGGAUCAACUGAGAUGCAAAACCCAUGUUCACAUCAUGAGUGAGUCUUCUAACUCGGACAAUGCAAUCAACAAAUUCUAAGACCAAAUUCCGGUGGCACUGGCUCCAAAGGCCCCAGGGAAAAUAAACUAAUCAAGACUACUUUAAUUUUUUAAAUAUGAAACCUGCGGAAAAUCAUGAAAAAUAGUAACACAAUUCCACCAUUUUCUACGAAAAAAUACUGAAAGGGUUAUUAACUUGAAUGUCCAAUAGACAGCUGAAUUAGAUAUGAAGUUGCAUAAAGAGAGUAGCCAAAUCAAAAUAUAUAAGUUUUAAAAGGCAAUAUCCAGGACUUCAAACAUGGAAAGAGUUACACGAGAGAAAAGAGGAUUUUGAGAGAUUGCUGCUUCAUUUGCAUGCUCAGCAAAACCUCACGGAGCACUGACGUUUUGAGUCAUCCCUCUAAUCAUCUAGCAUCCAACGCUCCUGAGUGUGGAAGGAGGUGAACAGGGAAAAGCAGAGAGGACAAAAGUCACAUCCCCUCCCCACAGACCCAUACUGGGGAAGGGUGGAAGAUUUAGCUGCGAGUCAAGUUCAGAAUUUUGAUUAACAUCUUGGCAUGCACAUUCGAAUUUCAGAAUCAAGACUGUUGGCCAUAAAAAAUGACUAUAGCCUUGUGUAUUACCUGAACUGAGCAGUAAAAAAAAAGUCAUGGUCCUUCUGGGGCUUUUAUUCUGAGACAGGAACCCUGAACAGGCAGGAGAAAGGGAAUGUUGACAGAGAAACAAAGACAGUUGGCGACACACGCUGACCGCCAUGCGGACGUCCAUCAAACCCAGCACUGGCCCUGGGUACGUGCGCCUUUGCUAUUACCCCAAUACAUUUUCUUCUGCAGAGCAAGCAACAGAACACAUGCAGACCUUAAUAAAUACCACUGGGUAAUGUGACAAUGGCCAAACUCUCCUCACGGGGGAGAGAGUGUCCCCCAGUUUUGCUCCCUUUUAAUUUCCAGGGUUCAUAAGUAGCUCUAAAGCUUUGCUCUACAAGGUUGAUACAUACGAUAUUAAUGUUUCCCCUAAGCAGUAUAACAUAAAUAUAUUUGCUAUCUUGACA